GUGCUCACUUCGGCAGCACAUACACUAAAAUUGGAAUGAUACAGAGAAGAUUAGCAUGGCCCCUGUGCAUGAAUGACACGAAAAUCUGCAAAGUGUUCCAUAUUUUA
Small nuclear RNA from Bubalus bubalis (water buffalo), 107 nucleotides. The record is from RefSeq and is a predicted model, not a curated record. Lineage: Eukaryota; Metazoa; Chordata; Mammalia; Artiodactyla; Bovidae.